AAACAAUUAAAUCAACAAUUACAAUAAUUACAGAUUGCAAUACUCUAAUAUAAAAAUAUCUUAAGAUUUUAAGAAAACAAUAAGUAAAAAAUUUCAAUUAUCAUAAUUCCAAUAACCAAACCAGUUUUGGGUAAUUCUUGGUAAUCAUAAUCAGAACAUAUAUUCAAAAAAAUAUGUAUUUAACUCUUGAAAUAUUGCACGUUGAAAAGUAAUUUCCGAUUGAUGCAAUUCUCUGGGCACACUUAAAAAAAUAAACAUAAAAAAAGAACAUCGUAAAAGAGAGAGAUAAAAAGGACAACAUGCUUGAUCGAUACCUUCUAAAAAUCAUUUCUCGCGCGAAGGGCCAACGGGUCCCUGCUCGAGCAGACUUGAAUGAUCUCUCUCAUUCUGGUCCACUGAUCACCAAUCUCC
Long non-coding RNA from Apis mellifera (honey bee), 411 nucleotides. RefSeq lists it as uncharacterized. The transcript is spliced from 2 exons. The record is from RefSeq and is a predicted model, not a curated record. NCBI's taxonomy places the organism in Eukaryota, Metazoa, Arthropoda, Insecta, Hymenoptera, Apidae.